GAUCCUGGCUCAGAUUGAACGCUGGCGGAACGCUUUACACAUGCAAGUCGAACGGUAACGCGGAGAGAGGCUUGCUUCUCACCAGCGACGAGUGGCGAACGGGUGAGUAAUACAUCGGAACGUGUCCGCUCGUGGGGGACAACCAGCCGAAAGGUUGGCUAAUACCGCAUGAGUUCUACGGAAGAAAGAGGGGACCCGCAAGGGCCUCUCGCGAGCGGAGCGGCCGAUGACUGAUUAGCCGGUUGGUG
This 248-nucleotide ribosomal RNA is filed under the name uncultured bacterium. RNAcentral's name for it is "partial 16S ribosomal RNA". It matches the Rfam family "Bacterial small subunit ribosomal RNA", at positions 15 to 254 of the family's 1533-position model. The record is from RNAcentral.